This 478-nucleotide ribosomal RNA is filed under the name uncultured bacterium. RNAcentral describes it as "partial 16S ribosomal RNA". It matches the Rfam family "Bacterial small subunit ribosomal RNA", at positions 28 to 523 of the family's 1533-position model. The record is from RNAcentral.
GACGAACGCUGGCGGCGUGCUUAACACAUGCAAGUCGAACGGUAAGGCCCUUCGGGGUACACGAGUGGCGAACGGGUGAGUAACACGUGGGUGAUCUGCCCUGCACUUCGGGAUAAGCCUGGGAAACUGGGUCUAAUACCGGAUAGGACUCCUGGCUUCAUGGUUGGGGGUGGAAAGCUUUUGCGGUGUGGGAUGGGCCCGCGGCCUAUCAGCUUGUUGGUGGGGUAAUGGCCUACCAAGGCGACGACGGGUAGCCGGGCUGAGAGGGUGACCGGUCACACUGGGGCUGAGAUACGGCCCAGACUGCUACGGGAGGCAGCAGUGGGGAAUAUUGCACAAUGGGCGCAAGCCUGAUGCAGCGACGCCGCGUGAGGGAUGACGGCCUUCGGGUUGUAAACCUCUUUCAGCUAUGACGAAGCGCAAGUGACGGUAGUAGCAGAAGAAGGACCGGCCAACUACGUGCCAGCCGCCGCCGUAA